GUAGUAUUAGUUAUGUUCUUAAAACCUAAAGAAUUUGGCGGUGUUUUAUUCUAUUCAGAGGAACUUGCCCCGUUAUCGAUAGUCCCCGUUUUAUCUUACUUGAUUUUGUUUAAAUUAAUUCAGUAUGUAUACCGCCGUUAUAAGCUUAUUUUUUAAGAACUAAAUUUGCUAAUAUUUUUAUUAAAAUUUAUUUCAGGUCAAGGUGCAGCUUAUAUUCAAGUGGAGGUGAGUUACAAUAUUUUUAAAUAAAUGGAUUUUUUAUUUAAAAUUUUUAUGAAGGUGGAUUUGAUGGUAAUUUUAUUUAUAUUAUUAUUUUGACCCUAGCUCUAAAACAAGUACACAUCGCCCGGUCGCUC
Molecule: ribosomal RNA, 356 nt
Filed under: Tisamenus sp. 9 SB-2020
Lineage: Eukaryota; Metazoa; Arthropoda; Insecta; Phasmatodea; Heteropterygidae
Description: partial 12S ribosomal RNA
Source: RNAcentral